This 1409-nucleotide ribosomal RNA is filed under the name Klebsiella pneumoniae. Its description in RNAcentral is "bacterial SSU rRNA". It matches the Rfam family "Bacterial small subunit ribosomal RNA". The record is from RNAcentral. Lineage: Bacteria; Pseudomonadati; Pseudomonadota; Gammaproteobacteria; Enterobacterales; Enterobacteriaceae.
UGCAAGUCGAGCGGUAGCACAGAGAGCUUGCUCUCGGGUGACGAGCGGCGGACGGGUGAGUAAUGUCUGGGAAACUGCCUGAUGGAGGGGGAUAACUACUGGAAACGGUAGCUAAUACCGCAUAACGUCGCAAGACCAAAGUGGGGGACCUUCGGGCCUCAUGCCAUCAGAUGUGCCCAGAUGGGAUUAGCUAGUAGGUGGGGUAACGGCUCACCUAGGCGACGAUCCCUAGCUGGUCUGAGAGGAUGACCAGCCACACUGGAACUGAGACACGGUCCAGACUCCUACGGGAGGCAGCAGUGGGGAAUAUUGCACAAUGGGCGCAAGCCUGAUGCAGCCAUGCCGCGUGUGUGAAGAAGGCCUUCGGGUUGUAAAGCACUUUCAGCGGGGAGGAAGGCGAUAAGGUUAAUAACCUUGUCGAUUGACGUUACCCGCAGAAGAAGCACCGGCUAACUCCGUGCCAGCAGCCGCGGUAAUACGGAGGGUGCAAGCGUUAAUCGGAAUUACUGGGCGUAAAGCGCACGCAGGCGGUCUGUCAAGUCGGAUGUGAAAUCCCCGGGCUCAACCUGGGAACUGCAUUCGAAACUGGCAGGCUAGAGUCUUGUAGAGGGGGGUAGAAUUCCAGGUGUAGCGGUGAAAUGCGUAGAGAUCUGGAGGAAUACCGGUGGCGAAGGCGGCCCCCUGGACAAAGACUGACGCUCAGGUGCGAAAGCGUGGGGAGCAAACAGGAUUAGAUACCCUGGUAGUCCACGCCGUAAACGAUGUCGAUUUGGAGGUUGUGCCCUUGAGGCGUGGCUUCCGGAGCUAACGCGUUAAAUCGACCGCCUGGGGAGUACGGCCGCAAGGUUAAAACUCAAAUGAAUUGACGGGGGCCCGCACAAGCGGUGGAGCAUGUGGUUUAAUUCGAUGCAACGCGAAGAACCUUACCUGGUCUUGACAUCCACAGAACUUUCCAGAGAUGGAUUGGUGCCUUCGGGAACUGUGAGACAGGUGCUGCAUGGCUGUCGUCAGCUCGUGUUGUGAAAUGUUGGGUUAAGUCCCGCAACGAGCGCAACCCUUAUCCUUUGUUGCCAGCGGUUCGGCCGGGAACUCAAAGGAGACUGCCAGUGAUAAACUGGAGGAAGGUGGGGAUGACGUCAAGUCAUCAUGGCCCUUACGACCAGGGCUACACACGUGCUACAAUGGCAUAUACAAAGAGAAGCGACCUCGCGAGAGCAAGCGGACCUCAUAAAGUAUGUCGUAGUCCGGAUUGGAGUCUGCAACUCGACUCCAUGAAGUCGGAAUCGCUAGUAAUCGUAGAUCAGAAUGCUACGGUGAAUACGUUCCCGGGCCUUGUACACACCGCCCGUCACACCAUGGGAGUGGGUUGCAAAAGAAGUAGGUAGCUUAACCUUCGGGAGGGCGCUUAC